RNAcentral lists this unclassified non-coding RNA (253 nucleotides) under uncultured Flavobacteriaceae bacterium. RNAcentral's name for it is "contains 16S-23S intergenic spacer region". It matches the Rfam family "Bacterial small subunit ribosomal RNA", at positions 524 to 776 of the family's 1533-position model. The record is from RNAcentral. Lineage: Bacteria; Pseudomonadati; Bacteroidota; Flavobacteriia; Flavobacteriales; Flavobacteriaceae.
UACGGAGGAUCCAAGCGUUAUCCGGAAUCAUUGGGUUUAAAGGGUACGUAGGCGGGAUGAUAAGUCAGUGGUGAAAGUCUGCAGCUCAACUGUAGAACUGCCAUUGAUACUGUUGUACUUGAGUCAUUAUGAAGUAGUUAGAAUAUGUAGUGUAGCGGUGAAAUGCAUAGAUAUUAGAGAGAAUACCGAUUGCGAAGGCAGAUCACUAAUAAUGUACUGACGCUGAUGGACGAAAGCGUAGGUAGCGAUCAGG